Molecule: ribosomal RNA, 491 nt
Filed under: uncultured bacterium
Lineage: Bacteria
Description: partial 16S ribosomal RNA
Rfam family: Bacterial small subunit ribosomal RNA
Source: RNAcentral
GUGAACGCUGGCGGUAGGCCUCACACCUGCAAGUCGCACGGCAGCACAGUAAGAGCUUGCUCUUACGGGUGGCGAGUGGCGGACGGGUGAGGAAUACAUCGGAAUCUACUUUUUCGUGGGGGAUAACGUAGGGAAACUUACGCUAAUACCGCAUACGACCUACGGGUGAAAGCAGGGGAUCUUCGGACCUUGCGCGAUUGAAUGAGCCGAUGUCGGAUUAGCUAGUUGGCGGGGUAAAGGCCCACCAAGGCGACGAUCCGUAGCUGGUCUGAGAGGAUGAUCAGCCACACUGGAACUGAGACACGGUCCAGACUCCUACGGGAGGCAGCAGUGGGGAAUAUUGGACAAUGGGCGCAAGCCUGAUCCAGCCAUACCGCGUGGGUGAAGAAGGCCUUCGGGUUGUAAAGCCCUUUUGUUGGGAAAGAAAGGCAGCAGGUUAAUACCCCGCUGUUCUGACGGUACCCAAAGAAUAAGCACCGGCUAACUUCGUG